RNAcentral lists this transfer RNA (63 nucleotides) under Trichonephila clavata. It matches the Rfam family "tRNA". From Rfam's summary of the family: Transfer RNA (tRNA) molecules are approximately 80 nucleotides in length. Their secondary structure includes four short double-helical elements and three loops (D, anti-codon, and T loops). Lineage: Eukaryota; Metazoa; Arthropoda; Arachnida; Araneae; Nephilidae. The record is from Rfam by way of RNAcentral.
GUCCUUGUAGUGCUCUUUGGACUUCUAAUCCAAAGGUCGUGGGUUCGAAUCCCACCUAGGAUG